GAUGAACGCUGACAGAAUGCUUAACACAUGCAAGUCCACUUGAACUUCGGUUUGGGUGGCGGACGGGUGAGUAACGCGUAAAGAACUUGCCUCACAGAUAGGGACAACAUUUGGAAACGAAUGCUAAUACCUGAUAUUAUGAUUAUAUGGCAUCGUAUAAUUAUGAAAGCUAUAUGCGCUGUGAGAGAGCUUUGCGUCCCAUUAGCUAGUUGGAGAGGUAACGGCUCACCAAGGCGAUGAUGGGUAGCCGGCCUGAGGGGGUGAUCGGCCACAAGGGGACUGAGACACGGCCCUUACUCCUACGGGAGGCAGCAGUGGGGAAUAUUGGACAAGGGACCAAGAGUCUGAUCCAGCAAUUCUGUGUGCACGAUGAAGUUUUUCGGAAUGUAAAGUGCUUUCAGUUGGGAAGAAAAAAAUGACGGUACCAACAGAAGAAGUGACGGCUAAAUACGUG
RNAcentral lists this ribosomal RNA (454 nucleotides) under uncultured bacterium. RNAcentral describes it as "partial 16S ribosomal RNA". It matches the Rfam family "Bacterial small subunit ribosomal RNA", at positions 28 to 507 of the family's 1533-position model. The record is from RNAcentral.